GCAGAUCUCGCGAGAGCGCCGGCGGGCGGAAGUGCACCGAUCCCCGCCCUGCGCAGCGCUUCCGCCCUUACUGCCCUUAAAGGGGCCGCGCGCGCGGCAGAACCGGAGGUAGCAGCGGGCAGCUUCCAGAAACGGAUCUUCGCGUGCUGCUCCUCCCCGGUGCAGCGCUUCCCGUGGGACGGCUGUUUCCAGCUCGCUCGGGUAGUUCGUGCAGGGCUGGGCUGCAGGGCUGGCUCAGCUGCAGCCGUGGAGCCUCGUGGUGCGGCAGACACGUGCAGGCUCAGCUCAGCUCCACGCUGCUGCUUUCUGGGCAGUCACGAGCCGGACGCUGUGGUUUGCUGUAUUGGACUCCAACAGCAGUUACCCAGGAUAAGCUGCAGCUGCACCUGUGCAGAGCUGUUGUGAGAUGGAAGCACCGCAGCCUUCGUGCUCAUGGAAGGAAGCAGAGCUGAGCCGCUGGGAUGACUCCAACAUCAGCUCCAGACCUCUCAACUCAAAGCCCAGCCCAGGGCAGCCUGCUGUGUCCCAGCUCAGUGCUGCCCAGCCAGUGGAGGAAGCAGCUGUGGGCUGCAGAGCUGCAAUUUGUGGCCAUUGCCCUGCAGAACUGCAGCAGCAGCGAUGCUGUAUCCAUACAUUUAACUCCCAGACGAAGAGCAACUGGGCAGGGGUCUGAGCCUGCCUCUAAACCCAGACUGACCCACUUUGCGCUGGUCUCAGCAGCUGCAGGCACACAGUGAAAGGUCUCCUGGAUGCAACCAUCCAUCGGAGGUACGGAGAGCACACAGAAAUAAAGAGCGCAACCUCAGAGUCAGCUCCAACAGCUCAGUUCAAAGUUCUCUCUCAGUUUCCAGAGUGGACAAAGCAGAGAUGAAAGGCGUUUUCCUGGAGGUGAAUAAACCUGUCGGAUUCAAGGUCAGAGAACAGCAGCGUUCAACCAAUGCCCAUCACCACGGCCAGCAUGCAAAGAGAGCAAAUGCACCCAGAGCCACGCACAGCUCUGACAGCACUCAAGCCAGCAGUUGUGGGGCACUGAGGCAGCAGCCAUUGCAGAUCAGUCGGAUCCAGGUGACAGCCAGCAGCCAGGGCAGCUCUUUGGUGUCUACAAGCUAACCAGGCAGUGGCACACAGCUCCUCACCAGCACAGCUGCUCCUCUCGUGAGCUGGGGAGUAAAAGCUGAAUUUUUGCAGCAUGAAUCACUACAGACCACAUUCUGCUGCUGGGAGCCGAACGGUCCACUGAGGCACAGCAUAAGCCUGCAAUGCUGACGUUGAGACGUGGCUUUCGAGACUGCCAAUUGAUUUCUCAUGAAAACACAAAUUCACAAGAAAGCUUUUUGUAAAAAAAAAAGAAGAAAAAAAGAAAAAAAAAUGGAGACAGGCUUGUGUUUCUAAUCCAAAUGUACUUCUCUUUAUUCAAACCAGGGGUAAUCACUGGUUAGUGCAAAAUGCACCUAAACCUUUUGCCUGAGGGAAAUCUACAUCUUAACAAGGCCUCCGUUAACCCCUACUGAAAUCCACAGAGGAUUCGAAAGAGUUCGAAGCACAGAUCCAACGCUGCACUUCGUUAAGUGACUCUGUGCAUCAGCAAGUCUGCACCUGCCUUGUUACCAGCUCUAUCCCACCAGGUAACAAAUGCAAAAUACACUCAGUAGAUUUCUUUUUAACUCCCAGAGUUUCUGACCCAUCCGCUCCACCGCUGACGUCAGCAGUGAGGGAGCUGCAGCUCAGCCUCACUUCCAUCAGUGCUAACGGAAACCCUGUUUUAAAUUAAAAAAUAAGCCAGCAUACAUAGUAGAAAAUUUCUCUUAAAAAUUUCACAAUCUGUAAAUGUAUAUAUAUAUUUUUUUCUUUUAAACAUAAAAGUUUACAAUAUACGGUAAAACAAAGGCUCAGGAAAAAAAUAAUCUCAAAAAAAAAAAAAAGAAACCUGAAGUUUUGAAUUAAAGCUGAAGACAUUUUUAAAACCCUGUAGUUUGAACCAGUGACAUUUUCUUUAUUUGUGCUGAUGGGUUAGAGAAAGGAAAAUAUUUAAAAACUGCAGUCCAAACACCCACAGCUUUUGCCUUCAGAAGCCAUCUCCCCCGCCCCCCC
Long non-coding RNA from Gallus gallus (chicken), 2091 nucleotides. RefSeq lists it as uncharacterized. Lineage: Eukaryota; Metazoa; Chordata; Aves; Galliformes; Phasianidae. The transcript is spliced from 2 exons. The record is from RefSeq and is a predicted model, not a curated record.